Anopheles funestus (African malaria mosquito) is the source of this 930-nucleotide long non-coding RNA. RefSeq lists it as uncharacterized. The record is from RefSeq and is a predicted model, not a curated record. Lineage: Eukaryota; Metazoa; Arthropoda; Insecta; Diptera; Culicidae. The transcript is spliced from 2 exons.
CUAUCGACAAACUGCUCGCCUGAGAGUGAAUUUCGAGUAAAAUUCACGGCUUCACAAGCGGCUUCACAAAAGCUUCACAGCAGAUCUUGUGAAGCCGUUUUUUGAGAGUGUGUGCGUGAGAUUCAUGAUUUCAUGAGCGCGUUUUCGUAAGGUUCAUUUUAACGCUGUAAUGUUCAUUUUCAAUCGUUCUUUCCGCACCGUUGAUUUCCAACGGUGCAAUGAAAACAUUUUUUGUUUUUAACAAAAAUAAUGCAAUUUUUUAUUUUAUUCCCGGUGAAGCUAUAAAUUAUCCUUCAACCCAUUUUUUCUAUUCCCAUUUUCUACAUAGUUUAGACAGUUUACAAUGACCAUACCCAAAGAAAUCCAGCUUCCAUCUAAAUAGCGUACAAUUUUCAAUGCUCGUACACUGCGCCACUUUAAGCCUGGUACCUUAAUCCUGGUACACAUGAUUCCGCUCACUAUUUGCAACUCUUUUCAUAACCACGCUGUUAGCUUCGAUCGGUGCAGCAUAAACAAUACAUAAACAUUUCCCCUCGUCCGAGUAUAAGUUUCCAAUAGAUUCACAUCGUGUAACAAAGAAAUAGAUACAGUCAAAAAUCUUCUAUGAAAUUGCCAGCGUGUUUCGAAAGAAACUAACAUCGUGUCCUUGACUUUGGUAUCGGGUGCGAUCUCGAUUUCAUGUUGAUCGCAUUACCACUUUGUUUAUGAAUCUUUUAUUCCGUAAUGAGUCUGAAAAUGGAAUCUCAGAUCGAUCUGAAAGAAAGCAAAGCCAUGUAUUAAUUAAAUAUCAACAUACUCUGUUUUUAGCUAUGCUUACCAAUAAGAAACUGCAGCUACAAAGUUCAAAUCAACAAAAAUUCGUAUCAACUGGUGAUUCCCGCACCUGUUACAAGAAAAAACAAGAAUAAUAAUUAAUUUCUAUACAAUUUA